Molecule: long non-coding RNA, 2102 nt
Filed under: Salmo salar (Atlantic salmon)
Lineage: Eukaryota; Metazoa; Chordata; Actinopteri; Salmoniformes; Salmonidae
Description: lncRNA (ENSSSAG00000100812.1)
Source: RNAcentral
UGUAUGUACUGAAGGUGAUCACUUUCAUCAGGUCUGUUUCUUUUCUCCCGCAGAAUGUGAGAGAUGUGACCAACCGUCCACUCACUGAGUUCAUGGCUCCCUGUAUUGACUCCCUCCCACCACUGGCUUUCACCAAUCGGAGGCCUAUACCAACCAUGUUGCAUCCCCCCUCUCCAUUGGCCAUACGCGCUCAGGAUGCACAGCGGUUCAUUGUAUUUUCCUACUUUGUCCCUGCUGAGUGCCCAGUUGCCACAGAGGCCACUGCAGAUGUAUCUGCUGGUAAAAGAGAGGACUUAUCGACAGAUACACAUCUUUCCUCAAUGCUUCAUCGAUACCUGCCACACUUCUUUAACGAUGACUCCAUUCCACCACAGCAGACAGAGGGAACCACUGAGGUCUCAGUUGCUCCAGUGGCAAUAUCUAAUAUCAAGGAAGAGGACAGAUUCUAUCCUUUCUCCCUUCCACCACUGGCUCAGCGGUUCAUUGGCAAUUCAUUCAAUGUCCCGGAAACCUCCCAGCUUGCUGUUUCAGCCAUGGAGUGCCGAGUUGCCAAUGUGGCCACUGCAGGUACAGCCACUGUCAAGAGAGAGAACCGAUGGGAAGCUAGAAUUCUUCCUUCAGUGCAGCCUCCAUGCCUGCCACCAGUCUUUGACAAUGACUUCAUGCCUCCAGAGCACACAGUAGAGGAUGCCUAUGAGGUCUCAUUUGCUACAGAGGCCACUUCAGACACAGCUACUGUUGAUGGAGUGGACAGAUCAGCAGCGAAAUGCCCUGUCCCAAUGCUGCCUCCAAGUGUGCCAGGUGUCUUUGACAUUGACAACAAACUGUCAGGGGCAGCAGCAGAGGGAACCAACAAGUGUCCAGUUGCCAGUGAAACAACCAAUGAUGUGUCCACUCACCUCAAAGAGGACAUGGCAGCUGAUCAAAGCCCUCCUGACCCUGCAGCACUGCCUCCAAGCUCACCAUAUAUCUGUGACUCUGACCACAAACUGACCAAGGAGGAAAAAGAGGAUGCCACAGAGUCCUCCCUUGCCACAGAGAUCACUGCAGGCAAUUCCAUUGUCCAGGGAGAGGACCUGGAUAAAAGCCCUGCUCCAAGGCUGCCUCCAAGCUUGUCACACAUUUUGGACAAUGACCAUAAGCAGCCAGAGGAGACGAUAGAGGGCGCCACUGAGUGCUCAGUCGCCGCAGAGGCAUCAGUUGCUAAUAGAGAGGAUCCAUCGGCAGCUACAGCUCUUCACACAGUGCUGCCUUCAAGUCUGCAACUUGUCUUUGACAAUGACUACAAACGGCCAGAGGAGGCAGUAGAGGGCGCCAGCAAGUGUCCAGUUGCCAGUGAAGCAGCCGCUUCUGUGUCUACUGUCCUCCAAGAGGAGUUUUUGACUCAUAAAAGUCCUCCUGCUCCCGCAGCACUGCCUCAAAGGCUACCCUGCACCCACAACAUUGACCACAAACAGCCAGAGGAGACUGUUAAGAACACCACAGAGUGCUCAGUUGACAUAGAGGCAUGUGCAGUUGCAUCCACUGUCAAGAGAGAGGAACUGACAGGUGAUAAAAGCCCUGUCCAUGCACUUCCUCCAAGCCUGGAAUGCAUCCAUGACAAGGACCACAAGCAGCCAGAUCAGAAAGGGAGGGGCACUACUGUGGAGUUGGAUAUCUGCCCUCACGGUCACCAGCUGGUCUCAGAUGCUAACUUAACUCUGGCAACCCGCAAUGAUGAGCUGCCCACCCCUCUGAUCUGCGUGGUCACUAAGACGCCUGUUAGAGUGGGAGCCUCCAUAUGCAGGUCAGAGGAGGAGGAACCCAGGCCCUGGACCCUGGAAGAGGCAAAGGAUUAUUGCAUUGGCAUUGAAAUUGAGAGUGAAGAGAGGAGCGUCAAGGAGAUGAGCCCGAAGGAGGGAUUGAAGCAUGAGGCAGACUGUGCCCAUUCCAAGUGCUCCAAUGGGAUGGUUUCAUCAGAGAGAGCAGUGACCAUCCUGGGAAGAGUGGGCUUUCUGGUCAUGAACCCCAUGAAGAAAAUCCAGUUUUUGAAGAUGAAGGAAAAAGAGGAAAAUAAGAAACUGAAUAAGAAGUUGAAAGAUGAUGAGAAAGAGAGAAAGGAG